This 891-nucleotide ribosomal RNA is filed under the name Blastocystis sp. RNAcentral's name for it is "SSU rRNA". It matches the Rfam family "Eukaryotic small subunit ribosomal RNA", at positions 21 to 933 of the family's 1831-position model. Lineage: Eukaryota; Bigyra; Opalinata; Blastocystidae. The record is from RNAcentral.
AGUCAUACGCUCGUCUCAAAGAUUAAGCCAUGCAUGUGUAAGUAUAAAUAAUUUUACUUUGAAACUGCGAAUGGCUCAUUAUAUCAGUUAUAGUUUAUUAGAAAUACUUUACUACUUGGAUAACCGUAGUAAUUCUAGGGCUAAUACAUGAAUAAAUCCUCAACUUCGGAAGAGGUGUGUUUAUUAGUAUGAAAACCAUAUAUCUUCGGAUAUAAUAGUGAGUAAUAAUAACCUUUCGUAUCGUAUGUCGUAAGAUAACGAUAGUUCUUUCAAGUUUCUGCCCUAUCAGCUUUCGAUGGUAGUAUAUGGGACUACCAUGGCAGUAACGGGUAACGAAGAAUUUGGGUUCGAUUUCGGAGAGGGAGCCUGAGAGAUGGCUACCACAUCCAAGGAAGGCAGCAGGCGCGUAAAUUACCCAAUCCUGACAUAGGGAGGUAGUGACAAUAAAUCACAAUGCGGAACUAUUUAGUUUUGCAAUUGGAUUGAGAACAAUGUACAAAUGUUAUCGAUAAACAAUUGGAGGGCAAGUCUGGUGCCAGCAGCCGCGGUAAUUCCAGCUCCAAUAGCGUAUAUUAACGUUGUUGCAGUUAAAAAGCUCGUAGUUGAAAUGUGGGAUGAAGUAUAUGAUGAAUUUAAUAUUCAAUUAUAUAUUGAUUCCCCUCUCCAAUUUAUUAUUAUGGGUAUUAAUUUAUUUGUAAUAAGAAUUGGUCAUUUACUGUGAGAAAAUUAGAGUGUUCAAAGCAGGCAUUUGCUUGAAUAGAUUAGCAUGGAAUAAUAAUAAAAGGCUUUUAUGGUCGAUUUAAUUGGUUUGUUCAUAAAAGCAAGAUUAAAAGGAACAGUUGGGGGUAUUCAUAUUCAAUAGUUAGAGGUGAAAUUCUCGGAUUUAUGGAA